This 729-nucleotide ribosomal RNA is filed under the name uncultured Bacteroidales bacterium. RNAcentral's name for it is "bacterial SSU rRNA". It matches the Rfam family "Bacterial small subunit ribosomal RNA", at positions 48 to 771 of the family's 1533-position model. Lineage: Bacteria; Pseudomonadati; Bacteroidota; Bacteroidia; Bacteroidales. The record is from RNAcentral.
CUAACACAUGCAAGUCGAGGGGCAGCACGGUGUAGCAAUACACUGGUGGCGACCGGCGCACGGGUGCGUAACGCGUAUGCAACCUACCCAUAACAGGGGGAUAACACUGAGAAAUUGGUACUAAUACCCCAUAACAUCAGGACCGGCAUCGGUUCUGGUUGAAAACUCCGGUGGUUAUGGAUGGGCAUGCGUUGUAUUAGCUGGUUGGUGAGGUAACGGCUCACCAAGGCAACGAUACAUAGGGGGACUGAGAGGUUAACCCCCCACAUUGGUACUGAGACACGGACCAAACUCCUACGGGAGGCAGCAGUGAGGAAUAUUGGUCAAUGGACGCAAGUCUGAACCAGCCAUGCCGCGUGCAGGAAGACGGCUCUAUGAGUUGUAAACUGCUUUUGUACGAGGGUAAACGCUCUUACGUGUAAGAGCCUGAAAGUAUCGUACGAAUAAGGAUCGGCUAACUCCGUGCCAGCAGCCGCGGUAAUACGGAGGAUCCAAGCGUUAUCCGGAUUUAUUGGGUUUAAAGGGUGCGUAGGCGGUUUGAUAAGUUAGAGGUGAAAUACCGGUGCUUAACACCGGAACUGCCUCUAAUACUGUUGAACUAGAGAGUAGUUGCGGUAGGCGGAAUGUAUGGUGUAGCGGUGAAAUGCUUAGAGAUCAUACAGAACACCGAUUGCGAAGGCAGCUUACCAAACUAUAUCUGACGUUGAGGCACGAAAGCGUGGGGAGCAA